AGAGCAGAGAGAAAACGAAUAUCAUCCUGGAGUAUGGUUUAACAAUACUGUUAAUUGUUGGUGCAAUAUCUACAAAGAUGAAAAAAUAUAUCAAAUUCGAUGGAACUUCCUUAAAGUUGUAAUGAUUUAUUGUCCAGAAUUUGCUGAAGUAGUUUUAAACAACAGUGAUCUUGUCGAUAAGAAUUGGCCCUAUAACUUUUUGCAUGGAUGGUUAGGAACUGGAUUGCUGACGAG
Molecule: long non-coding RNA, 234 nt
Organism: Centruroides sculpturatus (bark scorpion)
Lineage: Eukaryota; Metazoa; Arthropoda; Arachnida; Scorpiones; Buthidae
Exons: 3
Source: RefSeq, a predicted model, not a curated record